UUUUUUAAACAGAGAAUAACAUUUAUAUUCACAGCGAGUGUUUUAUAGUAUGGAUAAAACUACUAGCAAGGACUCCUGCAAAUCCAUGUUUCUGUGAGACCGGGCCACCUUUUAGAACACCAUUGGGUUCUGCAAAAAGGGUACCACAGGAAGAGCCACUGUUUUCUGCCACUCAACAAUCAAAUUGCUGCAAGCUGCCGCAACUACUAUAUGGUUUUCACCCCCAUCAUAGAUGCAUCAAUGUCAUCCCAUGUGGCCCUACCCUUAGGAGAACAAUAUGUCAGACAUUAUCUAAAAGAAAAAAUUAAGGUAUGACUCUCAAGGCUCAAUAAACUGGUAAACAACCUAUAUAUUAUAAAAUAUAGAUUUUUAAUAAUGGUGGUAUUUAUUCCAAAGGAAUUAGGUAAACUAGUAUAAAUGAAAUAAUAUUAAAUAAAACAAUGGAGGUCUAGUCCACAUAAAUAGAGCUGCGGGCCCCACAGCUAUUUGUCACUAAAUAAAAUAUAAAAUGAUAAUAUAAAUAAAAAUAAUUUGUCCUGCAGCACUAUUUAUGUGAACUGGACCUCCAUUGUUUUAAAUAUAUAUAUUGUUGGUUCAUUGAGCCUUAAGAAUUAUACCGUCAUUUUUUAUUUUUGUGGGCAACAGACUGGUAUAGACACUUGGUAUAAUUGUAACAGAUUAAUUCUUAUAAUCUGUGGGGUGGGCCAUCUGUUUAAUAGUGUAUGUCAAUAUGUAUGUAUGCAGUUGGGAGGUAGACGGUACACACACUAAUACGGUACACACUGUUAUUGAUGUUCCUGCACACAAAUGUAGCACUGUAAUGACCUAUAGGAACAGUCUCUUCCUCUGCGUUCCACCGCCUUUCUUAUUCACUGUGUUCACAACCUACAAAGUAAUUUUUAUAUACGUAAAAGUCAUUUUUGAAAGCCAUUAAAUAACAAAAGUAGAAGUCUUCAUUUCUUUAUACACGUCAAAAGGAUAGUAAGCCCCAUAUGCAAUUGCUUAAAUUGAAAUGUAAAAUACUAGAAUUCAUGAAACGAUGUGCAGAUAAUGCAAGAAGUUAUCAGUAUAAAAAUUACAGGACUGUAGGUUUAAAUUCACACCUUCAAGUUAUGGUAGGUGGGCCAUAUCUGCUCUGUCGGCAGGCAUUUUGCUUGGUAAUGGACAGUCAUUGAGGAUGCAUCCUGCAAUCCACUAGAGACUGAUUUUGUAACCAAACUACUUCAUAACAUAUUUCAAAGGAUUUAGAUAUUUUUUUCAGAAUGAAGGCUUCUCUUUAAACAGUGGCACCUGUUACCAUUACCAUCAAUAGUACAUUCCUGAUAUUAACUGCAAGUGGUGGGGUACCCUACUAAAUAAGUUUGGAGGUACCUCUACCUACUGUCCAAGGACAUUUAAUUUCAUGGAGCUAUCUGGUUGCACUUGGUGAUGUUCACAGAAAUGUCUUUGGAAAUGUUAAUAAAUCAGUCACGUUUGGUAGGACACAAAAGUUACAUCCCUGUUCUUAACACAAAUAACAAAUACCAAUUGUGUUG
Molecule: long non-coding RNA, 1535 nt
Organism: Bufo bufo (common toad)
Lineage: Eukaryota; Metazoa; Chordata; Amphibia; Anura; Bufonidae
Exons: 2
Source: RefSeq, a predicted model, not a curated record